Molecule: long non-coding RNA, 827 nt
Filed under: Marmota monax (woodchuck)
Lineage: Eukaryota; Metazoa; Chordata; Mammalia; Rodentia; Sciuridae
Source: RNAcentral
CUUUCAGUAGAUUUUUAACAACUCCAACUGCACAGAAACUGUCAAAUGGGAAAGAGGAGCCAUUCCAGACUGAGCCUUCACAAAAAUUUAUGAAUUGGAACAUAAUAUAUAACUAAGAGGUAGGCACUGAAAUCCAACCAGGAAAAAUUCUAAGAAGGAGAAAUCUUCUCCCAAGAAGAAACAGUGACCAUGAAAACCUAAAAUUAAAAAUAUCAGCAAGUAAUCACUGUUGCCAUUUCCCCCCAUGACUUUGAGCUGCUAAUUGUGUUAGGAGUUUCUAAGAAAUUCUCACUUGUAUCACUGAUAGUCCUAUCUCACCAGCAGCUCCAGAAACUCUGUAACCUGGCAUUCCUCCAAAGUCUAAAGGUUUUAUUCCUCUUGUUCUUUCCCUCCUUUCUCUACCUUAUGGUUAAUGAUGAGACAUGAUAUUCUCUUGCUAUUACUGCUGAAUGAGAGGGUUGGAGAGGAGGCCCAGAAUACUUUUUCUCCUUCCAUAAGUUGCUCAAAUCAUCCUUCAAUCCCAACUAACCAGGAGCGAAGCCUAAAGGUAUUUAGACUCUCAAAUACUGACCUAUCUGUCCAAUUUCUGUAAUUAUAAAUAUUUUUAGAGAGAGAGAGAGAGAAAUAGAAUUUUUUAAUUUUAAUUUUUUAGUUUUCUGUGGACACAACAUCUUUAUUUUAUUUGUAUGUGGUGCUGAGAAUCGAACCCAGUGCCCCGAGCAUGCCAGGCGAGCAUGCUACCGCUUGAGCCACAUCCCCAGCCCCAAUUAUAAAUAUUUUUAAAAGAUAUAUUUGAACUUUGAAUGCACAGGGUUAGGGUAGUUUCU